This 74-nucleotide transfer RNA is filed under the name Leptonema sp. (in: bacteria). RNAcentral describes it as "tRNA-Arg". It matches the Rfam family "tRNA". Rfam says of the family: Transfer RNA (tRNA) molecules are approximately 80 nucleotides in length. Their secondary structure includes four short double-helical elements and three loops (D, anti-codon, and T loops). The record is from RNAcentral. Lineage: Bacteria; Pseudomonadati; Spirochaetota; Leptospiria; Leptospirales; Leptospiraceae.
GCUCCGAUAGCUCAGCUGGAUAGAGUACUAGACUUCGAAUCUAGGUGUCGCAGGUUCGAAUCCUGCUCGGAGCA